GACGUAGGGCGCGAGCGUUGUCCGGAUUUAUUGGGCGUAAAGAGCUCGUAGGCGGCUUGUCGCGUCGAUCGUGAAAACUUGCAGCUUAACUGUGGGCGUGCGGUCGAUACGGGCAUCACUGGAGUUCGGCAGGGGAGACUGGAAUUCCUGGUGUAGCAGUGAAAUGCGUAGAUAUCAGGAGGAAUACCGAUGGCGAAGGCAGGUCUCUGGGCUGACACUGACGCUCAUGCACGAAAGCGUGGGGAGCAAACAGG
RNAcentral lists this ribosomal RNA (254 nucleotides) under uncultured bacterium. RNAcentral describes it as "partial 16S ribosomal RNA". It matches the Rfam family "Bacterial small subunit ribosomal RNA", at positions 524 to 776 of the family's 1533-position model. The record is from RNAcentral.